RNAcentral lists this ribosomal RNA (779 nucleotides) under uncultured Neocallimastigales. RNAcentral's name for it is "partial large subunit ribosomal RNA". It matches the Rfam family "Eukaryotic large subunit ribosomal RNA", at positions 22 to 634 of the family's 3401-position model. Lineage: Eukaryota; Fungi; Neocallimastigomycota; Neocallimastigomycetes; Neocallimastigales. The record is from RNAcentral.
UGUGUAUCAGUACAUGGCAUAUCAAUAAGCGGAGGAAAAGAAACUAACAAGGAUUCCCUUAGUAACGGCGAGUGAAGCGGGAAGAGCUCAAAUUUGAAAUCUUCAAGGUUUUACCUUGACGAAUUGUAGUUUAAAGGAGUGUUUUCUGUUGGAGUUUUGGUAAAAGUUCUUUGGAAUAGGACAGUCAUAGAGGGUGAGAAUCCCGUAUUUGACCAUUAUUUCCAACUGUGUGAUACACUUUCAAAGAGUCGGAUUGUUUGGGAAUGCAGUCCAAAAUGGGUGGUAAAUUUCAUCUAAAGCUAAAUAUUGGCGAGAGGACCGAUAGCGAACAAGUACCGUGAGGGAAAGAUGAAAAGAACUUUGAAAAGAGAGUUAAACAGUACGUGAAAUUGUCAAAAGGGAAGCGUUUGACACCAGUGUUGUUUUUUCCGAAAAUCAAUUAACUAAUGAUUUAAUUUUUAAGAGUUAUGACUUCAUCAGGCUUGCUUCUCUCUUUAUGAUACUUAUCUUAAUGCACUUUUCGUUAACAAGUCAACAUCAAUUUCUUUUGUUGUAAAAGGGUAUGAGGAAGGUGGCUUUCUUUUCGGAGAAAGUGUUUAUAGCCUUGUACCUCUGCAAUCGGAGAGAUUGAGGUCUGCAGCGUAGAUCCUUCGGGGUUAGAUACAUUUGUGCUAAGUUAUAGCUUUUCAUAGACAACUUGUUGACUAUGAUCAGUCAUGUAGCUUACUCGCUUAUGCUAUUUUACCUACGCUUAGGAUGUUGACAGCAGUAUAGACUGU